AAUGAACGUUGGCGGCAUGGAUUAGGCAUGCAAGUCGAGCGAGAAGCCUUUUUUGCUUGCAUUAAGGGUGGACAGCGGCGAAAGGGAGAGUAACGCGUAGAAAUGUACCCCAAGAUCCGGGAUAGCUGCGGGAAACUGCAGGUAAUACCGGAUAAUGUCUCCGGACCAAAGUUUUUCGUCUUGGGAGCAGUCUGCGUACUAUUAGCUUGUUGGUGGGGUAAUGGCCUACCAAGGCUCAGAUGGUUAGCGGGCGUGAGAGCGUGGCCCGUCUCACUGGGACUGAGACACUGCCCAGACGUCUACGGACGGCUGCAGUCGAGAAUCUUCCGCAAUGGACGAAAGUCUGACGGAGCGAUGCCGCGUGGUGGAUGAAGGCCCUCGGGUUGUAAACACCUGUCAGUAGGGAGGAAAUUUUGACCGAUCUACAGAGGAAGUCCGGGCUAAGUACGUGCCAGCGCCGCGGUAA
RNAcentral lists this ribosomal RNA (466 nucleotides) under uncultured bacterium. Its description in RNAcentral is "bacterial SSU rRNA". It matches the Rfam family "Bacterial small subunit ribosomal RNA", at positions 29 to 523 of the family's 1533-position model. The record is from RNAcentral.